CCUUGUAUCAGGUGCUCUAUUGUAUGACUGCUAUCAAAUAGAGCAUGCUUGUACAAAGGA
MicroRNA precursor from Monodelphis domestica (gray short-tailed opossum), 60 nucleotides. Ensembl annotates it as mdo-mir-7371g. The record is from Ensembl. NCBI's taxonomy places the organism in Eukaryota, Metazoa, Chordata, Mammalia, Didelphimorphia, Didelphidae.